CCUAACACAUGCAAGUCGAACGGUAACAGGAAGAAGCUUGCUUCUUUGCUGACGAGUGGCGGACGGGUGAGUAAUGUCUGGGAAACUGCCUGAUGGAGGGGGAUAACUACUGGAAACGGUAGCUAAUACCGCAUAACGUCGCAAGACCAAAGAGGGGGACCUUCGGGCCUCUUGCCAUCAGAUGUGCCCAGAUGGGAUUAGCUAGUAGGUGGGGUAACGGCUCACCUAGGCGACGAUCCCUAGCUGGUCUGAGAGGACGACCAGCCACACUGGAACUGAGACACGGUCCAGACUCCUACGGGAGGCAGCAGUGGGGAAUAUUGCACAAUGGGCGCAAGCCUGAUGCAGCCAUGCCGCGUGUAUGAAGAAGGCCUUCGGGUUGUAAAGUACUUUCAGCGGGGAGGAAGGGAGUAAAGUUAAUACCUUUGCUCAUUGACGUUACCCGCAGAAGAAGCACCGGCUAACUCCGUGCCAGCAGCCGC
RNAcentral lists this ribosomal RNA (482 nucleotides) under uncultured bacterium. Its description in RNAcentral is "bacterial SSU rRNA". It matches the Rfam family "Bacterial small subunit ribosomal RNA", at positions 47 to 518 of the family's 1533-position model. The record is from RNAcentral.